UGCCCCAUGGCUUAGUUGGCUAUAGCCUCCGACUGUUAUCGUUAUACGAAGUAAGCGGAAGGUCGAAAGUUCGAGCUUCUCUGGGGCAG
Molecule: transfer RNA, 89 nt
Filed under: Sphaerobolus stellatus SS14
Lineage: Eukaryota; Fungi; Basidiomycota; Agaricomycetes; Geastrales; Sphaerobolaceae
Description: tRNA-Asn
Source: RNAcentral